GUUAUGCUAAGAAAUCGCAUACCCAUAAAUCAAUGAUUUCCCACCUGAGUGAAACAACGAAUUGCUGUGUAGUCUUUGCCCAUCUCCCACGAUGGGCUUUUUUUAUC
Molecule: non-coding RNA, 107 nt
Filed under: Enterobacter sp.
Lineage: Bacteria; Pseudomonadati; Pseudomonadota; Gammaproteobacteria; Enterobacterales; Enterobacteriaceae
Also listed under: 1 other name
Description: antisense sRNA RprA
Rfam family: RprA RNA
About the family: Translational regulation of the stationary phase sigma factor RpoS is mediated by the formation of a double-stranded RNA stem-loop structure in the upstream region of the rpoS messenger RNA, occluding the translation initiation site. Clones carrying rprA (RpoS regulator RNA A) increased the translation of RpoS. The rprA gene encodes a 106 nucleotide regulatory RNA.
Source: RNAcentral